RNAcentral lists this RNase MRP RNA (263 nucleotides) under Olea europaea subsp. europaea. RNAcentral's name for it is "RNase MRP". It matches the Rfam family "RNase MRP". Rfam says of the family: RNase MRP is an enzymatically active ribonucleoprotein with two distinct roles in eukaryotes. In mitochondria it plays a direct role in the initiation of mitochondrial DNA replication. The record is from Rfam by way of RNAcentral. Lineage: Eukaryota; Viridiplantae; Streptophyta; Magnoliopsida; Lamiales; Oleaceae.
UCGCCACGAAACGAAGUGAACGGGGUGUGAACCUGCCUCUCGCAGGUUGGAGCCCCAGGAAAGUCCCCGGGCCAUAAUUUGCAGAGAUGCAAACCCAGGAACAGGUGGCCUCCGUGUCAACGGGCAAUAUUGCCACUGUGCAAUGGGCUGAGACGUGUGUGGAGCCCUAAUUGCCCAAUACCGGAGUUCUUUGGCCGAUUAUAUCACAGUUAUUCACUUGGUCCUAAUGCGACUAACUGAACGGGGCUUACGAUUUCGUGGUG